Molecule: ribosomal RNA, 273 nt
Filed under: uncultured prokaryote
Description: partial 16S ribosomal RNA
Rfam family: Bacterial small subunit ribosomal RNA
Source: RNAcentral
GACAGAGGGUGCAAACGUUGUUCGGAAUUACUGGGCGUAAAGCGCGUGUAGGCGGCUAUGCAAGUCGGGUGUGAAAGCCCUGGGCUUAACCUAGGAAGUGCACUCGAAACUGCAUAGCUCGAGUCCCGGAGAGGAUGGUGGAAUUCUCGGUGUAGAGGUGAAAUUCGUAGAUAUCGAGAGGAACACCGGUGGCGAAGGCGGCCAUCUGGACGGGUACUGACGCUGAGACGCGAAAGCGUGGGUAGCAAACAGGAUUAGAAACCCUUGUAGUCC